AGAGUUUGAUCCUGGCUCAGAACGACGCUGGCGGCGCGCCUAAUACAUGCAAGUCGAGCGAGAAGGUGUAGCAAUACACCUGUAAAGCGGCGAACGGGUGAGGAAUGCAUGGGUAACCUACCCUCGAGUGGGGAAUAACUAGCCGAAAGGUUAGCUAAUACCGCAUACGUUUCCGGAACUUCGGUUUCGGAAAGAAAGCAAUACCGUGGGUAUUGCGCUCCUGGAUGGGCUCAUGUCCUAUCAGCUUGUUGGUGAGGUAACGGCUCACCAAGGCUUCGACGGGUAGCUGGUCUGAGAGGACGAUCAGCCACACUGGCACUGCGACACGGGCCAGACUCCUACGGGAGGCAGCAGUAAGGAAUAUUGCGCAAUGGACGAAAGUCUGACGCAGCGACGCCGCGUGGGGAUGAAGGUCUUCGGAUUGUAAACCCCUUUCGGGAGGGAAGAUGGAGUGGGUAACCACUUGGACGGUACCUCCAGAAGCAGCCACGGCUAACUUUGUG
Molecule: ribosomal RNA, 503 nt
Filed under: uncultured bacterium
Lineage: Bacteria
Description: bacterial SSU rRNA
Rfam family: Bacterial small subunit ribosomal RNA
Source: RNAcentral